This 74-nucleotide transfer RNA is filed under the name Candidatus Woesearchaeota archaeon. RNAcentral's name for it is "tRNA-Val". It matches the Rfam family "tRNA". From Rfam's summary of the family: Transfer RNA (tRNA) molecules are approximately 80 nucleotides in length. Their secondary structure includes four short double-helical elements and three loops (D, anti-codon, and T loops). The record is from RNAcentral. Lineage: Archaea; Nanobdellati; Candidatus Woesearchaeota.
GGGCUCGUGGUCUAGCACGGUAUGACGUUUCCUUGACGUGGAAAAGGUCACCAGUUCGAAUCUGGUCGGGCCCA